CCAAUAGCGUAUAUUAAAGUUGUUGCAGUUAAAAAGCUCGUAGUUGAAUUUCGGGGUUCUUCCGUUGGUCAGGCUAACAAGUCUGUACUAGCGUGUAGAAUUCCUACCUUCUGGGGAACCAUCAUGUUAUUAAUUUAGCGUGGUGGGAAACCAGAACCUUUACCUUGAAAAAAUUAGAGUGUUCAAAGCAGGCUUACGUCUGAAUACAUUAGCAUGGAAUAAUAAAAUAGGACGGUGGUCCUGUUUUGUUGGUUUCUGAAUCACCGUAAUGAUUAAUAGGGAUAGUUGGGGGCAUUAGUAUUCAAUUGUCAGAGGUGAAAUUCUUGGAUUUAUUGAAGACUAACUUCUGCGAAAGCAUUUGCCAAGGAUGUUUUCAUUAAUCAAGAACGAAAGUUAGGGGAUCGAAGACGAUCAGAUACCGUCGUAGUCUUAACCAUAAACUAUGCCGACUAGGGAUCGGACGAUGUUAAAUUUUAUUGACUCGUUCGGCGCCUUACG
Molecule: ribosomal RNA, 498 nt
Filed under: uncultured Glomeromycotina
Lineage: Eukaryota; Fungi; Glomeromycota
Description: partial small subunit ribosomal RNA
Rfam family: Eukaryotic small subunit ribosomal RNA
Source: RNAcentral